RNAcentral lists this ribosomal RNA (237 nucleotides) under uncultured bacterium. Its description in RNAcentral is "partial 16S ribosomal RNA". It matches the Rfam family "Bacterial small subunit ribosomal RNA", at positions 103 to 334 of the family's 1533-position model. The record is from RNAcentral.
CGGGUGAGUAACACGUGGAUAACCUACCUAUAAGACUGGGAUAACUUCGGGAAACCGGAGCUAAUACCGGAUAAUAUAUUGAACCGCAUGGUUCAAUAGUGAAAGACGGUUUUGCUGUCACUUAUAGAUGGAUCCGCGCCGCAUUAGCUAGUUGGUAAGGUAACGGCUUACCAAGGCAACGAUGCGUAGCCGACCUGAGAGGGUGAUCGGCCACACUGGAACUGAGACACGAUCCAG